RNAcentral lists this long non-coding RNA (312 nucleotides) under Pongo abelii (Sumatran orangutan). RNAcentral's name for it is "lincRNA". The record is from RNAcentral. Lineage: Eukaryota; Metazoa; Chordata; Mammalia; Primates; Hominidae.
GAAGAUUUAUAAGCAGAUAGGGAGGGUCUCCAGGAAUAACAGGAAUUUAAUCAACCACCUAUCAGCUUGGUUUACCACCUCCUGCCCUGCAGCCUGUUCUUCCCCAAACACUGGGUGGAAUGCAGUCACCUUAUUGGUUUAAACCAGCUCCUCAACGGAGCAGCAACACAGCAACAUAGAUGAACUCGAGUGAACUUUCUCAUGACCAUGCUAAAGUCUCCACCCUAGGUGGAGCUGUAGCUUCUUUACUAUAACAUGCAACCUAUGUGUUGACAUGAUGACUCGCUGCAUCUAUGCAACUAGGACCCCUCC